ACCCGCGGCAAGACGGAAAGACCCCGUGAACCUUUACUAUAGCUUGACACUGAACAUUGAGCCUUGAUGUGUAGGAUAGGUGGGAGGCUUUGAAGUGUGGACGCCAGUCUGCAUGGAGCCGACCUUGAAAUACCACCCUUUAAUGUUUGAUGUUCUAACGUGGACCCGUAAUCCGGGUUGCGGACAGUGUCUGGUGGGUAGUUUGACUGGGGCGGUCUCCUCCUAAAGAGUAACGGAGGAGCACGAAGGUUGGCUAAUCCUGGUCGGACAUCAGGAGGUUAGUGCAAUGGCAUAAGCCAGCUUGACUGCGAGCGUGACGGCGCGAGCAGGUGCGAAAGCAGGUCAUAGUGAUCCGGUGGUUCUGAAUGGAAGGGCCAUCGCUCAACGGAUAAAAGGUACUCCGGGGAUAACAGGCUGAUACCGCCCAAGAGUUCAUAUCGACGGCGGUGUUUGGCACCUCGAUGUCGGCUCAUCACAUCCUGGGGCUGAAGUAGGUCCCAAGGGUAUGGCUGUUCGCCAUUUAAAGUGGUACGCGAGCUGGGUUUAGAACGUCGUGAGACAGUUCGGUCCCUAUCUGCCGUGGGCGCUGGAGAACUGAGGGGGGCUGCUCCUAGUACGAGAGGACCGGAGUGGACGCAUCACUGGUGUUCGGGUUGUCAUGCCAAUGGCACUGCCCGGUAGCUAAAUGCGGAAGAGAUAAGUGCUGAAAGCAUCUAAGCACGAAACUUGCCCCGAGAUGAGUUCUCCCUGAGACUUAG
This 758-nucleotide ribosomal RNA is filed under the name Salmonella enterica subsp. enterica serovar Typhimurium. RNAcentral describes it as "partial 23S ribosomal RNA". It matches the Rfam family "Bacterial large subunit ribosomal RNA", at positions 2068 to 2824 of the family's 2925-position model. The record is from RNAcentral. Lineage: Bacteria; Pseudomonadati; Pseudomonadota; Gammaproteobacteria; Enterobacterales; Enterobacteriaceae.